Camellia sinensis is the source of this 2820-nucleotide non-coding RNA. The record is from RefSeq and is a predicted model, not a curated record. NCBI's taxonomy places the organism in Eukaryota, Viridiplantae, Streptophyta, Magnoliopsida, Ericales, Theaceae.
CCCUAGUCCUUCACAAACACUGAUCGUUCUCUCUCUCUCUCUCGGUCUCACAGACUGGUAAACACACAUGUAUAUGUAACUCUAUAUACUAUGUAUAUGUGAAUAUCAAUCUUUGAAAUUGAAAUUAUUCUGUUGAGAUCUGAGCAAGAAUCGAAGUAGUCGUCCUCAACUUCCUUAAGAUCUUGAACUCUUCGACUCCGGCAAUCUCAUGUCACUUUGGCUUGCAAUUUUACUUCAAAUCUCUAAUCUCGAAAUGUGUGUUAAGCAUUGAGUCACUGUUGAUUUUAAGUAGAUGAAUUUGGGGAUUUUUCAGUGUAUUACAAAUCGAUAGAAGAUGGAGUAAUAGUAGAGCGAGUUGAGGUUUGAUGAAGAUUAGAGAUCGAGAAGUUGGAUACUCAGUGGUUCACUACGAAGAAGUCGUCUCCUGAUUCGAAGCAAAAGUGAGUUUGACACAAUGAUCAGUAAUAGUUCCAAACCAUAGGUGAAAUCAGUAAUUUACAUCUUUUGAUGGUACAGUAGCUCGUGUAGUCUUAGUGUUGGGGGAUUAUUUGAAGGAUGAACCAUGGUUAAAGCUCCUCUGCAACUACCUGAAGUAUGAACUAUUUUAUUUGUAAUUUUUAUUUUCAUGUUGCCACAAAUCACGACAUGUUUUAUUUAAAAUAUUAUAGGUCAAAUCAAUUUAUAUGUUUGAAUAUUGAAUUUGAUUGAUGAAUUCAGUAGUUAUUCAUGACCUGCUGAAUGAUUUGAAUGUGCGAAAGCUUAGGGUAAAAACUGCAAGUCAAAUCUUUGCCUUAAUGAAGAGGAUUUAAACUACUUUUUUAGAUGCAGUCAAAUUAUUAUGCAACUGUGUGGAGUUUAAACACAAAUAACUGCAGGCUUGAAUUCAAAGAUAAUACAAAUAACUUGAUAUUUUCAAAGACAACUAGAAUUGAAAAUGGCAAACUGCACUGCAACCAAGUGUUGAUAAACUAAUUGUACAAGCCUAAAUUGAGAAUUGAAAUUGACGCUGUUUGAUGUAUUGGUGGUGCGCAACCCUCAUUUUAUCUUUGCGUUGGCUAUUUAUAAUGGCUGGCUGGCUGCGUGCAAGUUCAAACAUCAGCACCUCACAUCCUUCUGUUUUCAAGACUGCAUGUCCUCCACCUUCUUCAUUGUUGCACUCCUUAUCUAGUGUGUCUUGCUCUCACACUCUGGUUGCCCCACUUGUCCCAACUUUCCAAUGCCUCCAUUAAUUCAAAGAGAAGCUACACAUUCUACACUACUGAUUUUUUAUGGUUGAGGCUUCACAGAUUGCCAUGUCCUCCUUUUCUUAUGUAAUGCAGACUUACUUCCAUUGACUUGAUGGAAUACUUCUCCGUGUGUGACAUGUUCUUUUCCUUUGACCAGGUGUUGAACAAUACCACAACUAUCCCCUGCUUCAUGGGAUAUGAAAUAACACUUAGUUGUUGGGAUGACUUAUACAUGCCCUUCUUCCAUAAGUUGCCAUUUGUAUAGACAUAGUUACACAUGAAGAUUCCACAUCUAUCAUAGCAAAACUACUUCUUUUAACAUAAAAGGGGAGAUAAAAAGUUUAUAACAAACUCCUCUCAAUUAAUCUCAGUUUAAUAUAAAUCUGACCCAAGUUACUUCAACCAACCCUUUCUUACUUGGCUUCCAUCACUACGUACCCAUUUCCUGUUGGCUAGCCAUUUUUAGCCUAUGGCUUGGUUGGAGAUUAGUCACCCUUAAAGUGAUUGUUUGGAAGUUGGACACCCUUGAAGUUUUCAACUCUCACCUAUUUCCUAAUUUUGUUUUGUUAUUUUUGUCGAAGAUUUGACUGUAUCAUCAAUUGGUAUUUGAAAUUAAUUUGGUGUGUAUCCCAUGCGCCAUGGUUCUAGCCACUUAAAUGAAUCUUUACUCACCCUGAUCAGAAAGGUCUUUGUUUAGGUGUCUCAAAAAAAUUGAAAAGAGCGAACUUUGAAAGUGUUGUUCAUUAUGUUGAAUCCUAUGAGCAGAAUUGGGAGCAAACAAAGCAAGAAAAUUUCUACAAUUAACACUAAGUCAACCAAAUUCUGGCUGGUGGUAUUGGGGCAUGUGAUUAAAAAACAGAAACUUGCUUCCUAAAUUCUGGCUGAUGGAAUUCCUGCAACUAGAAGGAGACAAUCCUUCAGACUAUAUUUCACAUGCAAAAUGGCUUCCUAAAUAGGCUCAGAACAAUAAUGUGGUGAUGCACUGAUUCAUUAUGGUGUAUUAUUUUAUGUUGGGAUAACUCAAACAAACACAUCAAAUAUUCAAAAUUAAGCUCUUGACAGGCGCGCAGGCACAAGAGAGACUCAAGGAAUGAACAACAAAAUGUCUCUGUUGGAAUUGUGGUAAACACUGGAAUUAGAAAUAUUGUUGUGAAAAGAGGACUUUAUAUGGUAAAAUUAUCCUUCAAUCAUGAAAGUGUUGGAUAAACUUUCAUAGCCAACCUUGAGGAUAAAGUUGAUUUUUAGGGGGUGGAAUGAUUGGAUCCAAUAUUGUUAGAAAAUAUUAUUAAGCUAUAUUUUGAUCUACUUCUUUAUUUAAGCUUUAAUUAGAAAAUUGUAGGUACAUGAUUCUUCCUAUCACGUGACUCGUCCAUGAAAAUUGCCAUAUCACCUCCAUAUGUUUUGGUCCCAACUCCUAGUGUUAGUCUAAUAAGGUGGCACUUGGACCAACCAGAUACUACCAUAGCGGUGCCUUAGCCUUGAGCUUAGACACUUGGGGGCAAUUUCCAGGAGGCGCCCCAGGCAUGCUUGACUCUCACUCACUCAGUAAGAUUAGUCCUCCACUUGAGUGUGCCCAUCUCCAUUUUGUGAUGCA